GACGAACGCUGGCGGCGUGCUUAACACAUGCAAGUCGAACGGAAAGGCCCUGCUUGCAGGGUACUCGAGUGGCGAACGGGUGAGUAACACGUGGGUGAUCUGCCCUGCACUUCGGGAUAAGCUUGGGAAACUGGGUCUAAUACCGGAUAGGAACCAUCUUUCGUGUAGUGGUUGGAAAGUUUUUUCGGUGUAGGAUGAGCUCGCGGCCUAUCAGCUUGUUGGUGGGGUAAUGGCCUACCAAGGCGGCGACGGGUAGCCGGCCUGAGAGGGUGUACGGCCACAUUGGGACUGAGAUACGGCCCAGGCUCCUACGGGGGGCAGCAGUGGGGAAUAUUGCACAAUGGGCGCGAGCCUGAUGCAGCGACGCCGCGUGGGGGAUGAAGGCCUUCGGGUUGUAAACUCCUUUCGCUAGGGACGAAGCUUUUUGUGACGGUACCUAGAUAAGAAGCACCGGCUAACUACGUG
This 465-nucleotide ribosomal RNA is filed under the name uncultured bacterium. RNAcentral's name for it is "partial 16S ribosomal RNA". It matches the Rfam family "Bacterial small subunit ribosomal RNA", at positions 28 to 507 of the family's 1533-position model. The record is from RNAcentral.